RNAcentral lists this ribosomal RNA (300 nucleotides) under uncultured Actinomycetales bacterium. RNAcentral's name for it is "bacterial SSU rRNA". It matches the Rfam family "Bacterial small subunit ribosomal RNA", at positions 502 to 802 of the family's 1533-position model. The record is from RNAcentral. Lineage: Bacteria; Bacillati; Actinomycetota; Actinomycetes; Actinomycetales.
UAUGUGCCAGCCGCCGCGGUAAUACGUAGUGUGCGAGCGUUGUCCGGAAUUACUGGGCGUAAAGGGCUCGUAGUGGUCUGUCGCGUCGUCUGUGAAAUUCCGGGGCUUAACUCCGGGCGUGCAGGCGAUACGGGCAUAACUUGAGUACUGUAGGGGUAACUGGAAUUCCUGGUGUACGGUGAAAUGCGCAGAUAUCAGGAGGAACACCGAUGGCGAAGGCAGGUUACUGGGCAGUUACUGACGCUGAGGAGCGAAAGCAUGGGUAGCGAACAGGAUUAGAUACCCUGGUAGUCAAGGGCG